This 169-nucleotide non-coding RNA is filed under the name human gut metagenome. The record is from RNAcentral. RNAcentral also lists the same sequence under 1 other name.
AAAAGGUUCGCGAAAAAACGCGCGAUUAAAAGGGAACGCCGUGAAAUCCGGCGACAGUACCCGCUGCUGUGAUUCUCGCCGAGCCUCGGACAACAAUGUCACUGCGAAGUUCUGUGCUUCGCGGGAAGGCGUUCGAGGGGAGAGAUAAGUCAGAAGACCUACCAUUUUC